This 294-nucleotide ribosomal RNA is filed under the name uncultured bacterium. RNAcentral describes it as "partial 16S ribosomal RNA". It matches the Rfam family "Bacterial small subunit ribosomal RNA", at positions 334 to 620 of the family's 1533-position model. The record is from RNAcentral.
UUUCCCUACGGGACGCAGCAGUAGGGAAUUUUCGUCAAUGGGGGGAACCCUGAACGAGCAAUGCCGCGUGAGUGAAGAAGGCCUUCGGGUCGUAAAGCUCUGUUGUAAGAGAAAAACGGUAAUGAUAGGGAAUGAUCAUUAAGUGAUGGUAUCUUACGAGGAAGCCACGGCUAACUACGUGCCAGCAGCCGCGGUAAUACGUAGGUGGCAAGCGUUAUCCGGAAUGAUUGGGCGUAAAGGGUGCGCAGGCGGAUGGAUAAGUCUGAAGUAAAAGCGAUCGGCGCAACCGAUGUA